Molecule: long non-coding RNA, 349 nt
Filed under: Malus domestica (apple)
Lineage: Eukaryota; Viridiplantae; Streptophyta; Magnoliopsida; Rosales; Rosaceae
Description: long non-coding RNA (MDOM_LNC020233)
Source: RNAcentral
GUUCUUCUCCACACAUGAAAUAUAUGCAACGUAAAUCAAUUUCCAGUUAUCAAUUUAAUAAGUUAUGAACCUCGACAGUCCAAGUUAAUUAGGUCCGCUUAAAUUAACCUUCAGAUUUCCCUAGAAUCAUUGAAUUGGAUGAAUAUGCAUCGCAAACAAAUUAUUCCUAACAAGUUCUCUACAUGAACAGCAUGAUAAAGACACAAGUUAGAAUCAUUACGUUCUUUGGAAAUCAUAAGCAUCAACAAGGCAUUUGUAACUAUGAAAAGAUGAUACUCUGAAGGAAAAAUUUUGUCCUAGCUAAGAACAAGUAAGAACAUUUGAAUACAUAUGCAAACUAUUAACACAU